UCUGGUCCGCAUAGCCCUUAUGUCCUGGGCGACACACGCGCUACAAUGGCCGAUACAAUGGGAAGCCAAAUCGUAAGAUGGAGCAAAUCCUAAAAAGUCGGUCUCAGUUCGGAUUGAGGUCUGAAACUCGACCUCAUGAAGUUGGAUUCGCUAGUAAUCGUGGAUCAGCCAUGCCACGGUGAAUACGUUCUCGGGUCUU
This 199-nucleotide ribosomal RNA is filed under the name uncultured candidate division WS6 bacterium. RNAcentral's name for it is "partial 16S ribosomal RNA". It matches the Rfam family "Bacterial small subunit ribosomal RNA", at positions 1185 to 1382 of the family's 1533-position model. The record is from RNAcentral.